UGGGGAAUAUUGGACAAUGGGCGAAAGCCUGAUCCAGCCAUGCCGCGUGUGUGAAGAAGGCCUUUUGGUUGUAAAGCACUUUAAGUGGGGAGGAAAAGCUUAUGGUUAAUACCCAUAAGCCCUGACGUUACCCACAGAAUAAGCACCGGCUAACUCUGUGCCAGCAGCCGCGGUAAUACAGAGGGUGCAAGCGUUAAUCGGAAUUACUGGGCGUAAAGCGCGCGUAGGUGGUUAUUUAAGUCAGAUGUGAAAGCCCCGGGCUUAACCUGGGAACUGCAUCUGAUACUGGAUAACUAGAGUAGGUGAGAGGGGAGUAGAAUUCCAGGUGUAGCGGUGAAAUGCGUAGAGAUCUGGAGGAAUACCGAUGGCGAAGGCAGCUCCCUGGCAUCAUACUGACACUGAGGUGCGAAAGCGUGGGUAGCAAACAGGAUUAGAUACCCUGGUAGUCCACGCCGUAAACGAUGUCUACCAGUCGUUGGGUCUUUUAAAGACUUAGUGACGCAGUUAACGCAAUAAGUAGACCGCCUGGGGAGUACGGCCGCAAGGU
RNAcentral lists this ribosomal RNA (547 nucleotides) under uncultured bacterium. RNAcentral's name for it is "bacterial SSU rRNA". It matches the Rfam family "Bacterial small subunit ribosomal RNA", at positions 355 to 894 of the family's 1533-position model. The record is from RNAcentral.